UAACUUCAAAUUAAAAAAGCUCCUUCGUCGUUCAAAGAAAGACCCGUAAGCCCUGCCCUAACUCCUCCUUCAAAAGCCCCAACGCGACGACGACACUCCGUUCUUCAUUGUGCCUCGCCCUCACCGCGACGACGACACUCAGACGACAGUUCGUGAAGAACGUCGCUGUGCUGGCAAUGCCUCCGCCGGCAAUCCCUCUUCCCGCACCCCUAACCUCCUUCUGCAGUGACUCUCUCUGGCGGUGACUCUCUCUGCUCACUUGCCGUCGCAAACCCGCCGUGGAUGCUCCCUUUGCCGCCACUCCCUUUCGUGGCUGCAGAUUCCUACCUUCCGCGCCGCUCCCUUCCUACUUCCUGCUUCCUGCUUCUUGCUUCUUUGUUAGUCCUCUUCUUAUUCCUUUCUUUUAUUUCUUUUCCUAUUUCACCUGGUCACUUAGCAAAUCUGAUGGCUACAUUGUGACGAAGCCCGGGACGACGAAGACCAGUGUUGAGGGUGUUUUUGCUGCCGCCGAUGUUCAGGACAAGAAGUAUAGGCUAGCUAUUACUGCCGCUGGCUCCGAAAUCACUAAUUUUCAUCAGUGAAGGCAGAGAAAUCACUAAGUUUUCUUCUAUUGCAUUUUGUGAGGAAAGGCUUUGAAUGUUCAUGCUGCUUCAGACUUUACUAUUGGUGGAUCUAGGGGGCAACUACUUCCCAUGGUUGUUGGCAAUGUCAUGUGCUUUUUAACUUAAUUCAUACUUUUCUUUAAAGCAAUUAAGGUAAUUUUGUUAACCUAUUACCAGAACUGUCACUUUUCAGUUAGUUUUGAUGUUUAUAAAUUAUGUUGAUGUAACAUUAUUUUGUAAAUUGUUGGAUGAUGAUGUCUCUUUUGAA
Molecule: non-coding RNA, 870 nt
Organism: Arachis ipaensis
Lineage: Eukaryota; Viridiplantae; Streptophyta; Magnoliopsida; Fabales; Fabaceae
Source: RefSeq, a predicted model, not a curated record